UCCCUGGUGGUUCAGAUGGCAAAGCAUCUGCCUGCAAUGCGGGAGACCCGGGUUCGAUUCCUGGGUUGGGAA
Molecule: transfer RNA, 72 nt
Organism: Ovis aries (sheep)
Lineage: Eukaryota; Metazoa; Chordata; Mammalia; Artiodactyla; Bovidae
Rfam family: tRNA
About the family: Transfer RNA (tRNA) molecules are approximately 80 nucleotides in length. Their secondary structure includes four short double-helical elements and three loops (D, anti-codon, and T loops).
Source: Rfam